Danio aesculapii is the source of this 285-nucleotide long non-coding RNA. RefSeq lists it as uncharacterized. Lineage: Eukaryota; Metazoa; Chordata; Actinopteri; Cypriniformes; Danionidae. The transcript is spliced from 3 exons. The record is from RefSeq and is a predicted model, not a curated record.
AGUGCUGUGGAACAUGUAAACUAAUGAGCUGCAUUUAUUUUAGAGAGGACAACACUAAACACAUUCUUCAUGAUGGAGAUGUCAAGAAUUUUACAUGUGAAACUGUUUCCUGUCAUGAAAUAAAUGGCUCAUUUUUGAUUGAGAAAUCCAAAACAGUGUGUCCGUACUCGAGUAUGCACGUCUGUGAGUAUGGGUUUGAAUAUGUGACGAAAGACGGCGAGUGCUGUGGAACAUGUGAACCAGUGGCCUGUAUUUAUCAUUCACCAGACAACACCAUACAUAUUC